This 204-nucleotide long non-coding RNA is filed under the name Mytilus galloprovincialis (Mediterranean mussel). Lineage: Eukaryota; Metazoa; Mollusca; Bivalvia; Mytilida; Mytilidae. The record is from RNAcentral.
UUUUUUUUUCGCCUGCGGCGAAAAACAAUCUAUUUUUUCGCGACAAGUCGAAAACAAUUUUUUUUCUUUCAAUUUUAGCAUUACAUAUAGUGGCAGCUGAGGGUGAAACAAACAAUUUUUUUUUCUCAGAAUCAAAAACAAAUUAUUUUUUUCUCCAAAAACUAGAAACAAACUUUUUUUUCCAAAAAAAAACCAUAGCCCCCC